UACGUAGGGGGCGAGCGUUGUCCGGAUUUAUUGGGCGUAAAGAGCGUGUAGGCGGCCAGGUAGGUCUGCUGUGAAAACUCGAGGCUCAACCUCGAGACGUCGGCGGAAACCAUCUGGCUAGAGUCCGGAAGAGGAGAGUGGAAUUCCUGGUGUAGCGGUGAAAUGCGCAGAUAUCAGGAAGAACACCCGUGGCGAAGGCGGCUCUCUGGGACGGUACUGUCGCUGAGACGCGAAAGCGUGGGGAGCGAACAGG
Molecule: ribosomal RNA, 253 nt
Filed under: uncultured bacterium
Lineage: Bacteria
Description: partial 16S ribosomal RNA
Rfam family: Bacterial small subunit ribosomal RNA
Source: RNAcentral